AGAGUAGCCACGGUAAAACAGAGGGUGCAAGCGUUAAUCGGAAUUACUGGGCGUAAAGCGCGCGUAGGUGGUUUGUUAAGUUGGAUGUGAAAGCCCCGGGCUCAACCUGGGAACUGCAUCCAAAACUGGCAAGCUAGAGUACGGUAGAGGGUGGUGGAAUUUCCUGUGUAGCGGUGAAAUGCGUAGAUAUAGGAAGGAACACCAGUGGCGAAGGCGACCACCUGGACUGAUACUGACACUGAGGUGCGAAAGCGUGGGGAGCAAACAGGAUUAGAUACCCCAGUAGUCCCUGUCUCUUAUACA
This 303-nucleotide ribosomal RNA is filed under the name uncultured bacterium. RNAcentral describes it as "partial 16S ribosomal RNA". It matches the Rfam family "Bacterial small subunit ribosomal RNA", at positions 508 to 808 of the family's 1533-position model. The record is from RNAcentral.